Molecule: ribosomal RNA, 253 nt
Filed under: uncultured bacterium
Lineage: Bacteria
Description: partial 16S ribosomal RNA
Rfam family: Bacterial small subunit ribosomal RNA
Source: RNAcentral
UACGAAGGGUGGAAACGUUGCUCGGAAUUAUUGGGCGUAAAGCGCGCGCAGGCGGUCCUUUAAGUCUGAUGUGAAAGCCCACGGCUCAACCGUGGAGGGUCAUUGGAAACUGGGGGACUUGAGUACAGAAGAGAAGAGUGGAAUUCCACGUGUAGCGGUGAAAUGCGUAGAGAUGUGGAGGAACACCAGUGGCGAAGGCGACUCUUUGGUCUGUAACUGACGCUGAGGCGCGAAAGCGUGGGGAGCAAACAGG